This 466-nucleotide ribosomal RNA is filed under the name uncultured bacterium. RNAcentral's name for it is "partial 16S ribosomal RNA". It matches the Rfam family "Bacterial small subunit ribosomal RNA", at positions 28 to 507 of the family's 1533-position model. The record is from RNAcentral.
GAUGAACGCUGGCGGCGUGCUUAACACAUGCAAGUCGAACGAUGAAGCCCAGCUUGCUGGGUGGAUUAGUGGCGAACGGGUGAGUAACACGUGAGUAACCUGCUCUUAACUCUGGGAUAAGCCUGGGAAACUGGGUCUAAUACCGGAUAUGAGCGUCCACCCCACGGUGGGUGUUGGAAAGAUUUAUCGGUUUUGGAUGGACUCGGGGCCUAUCAGCUUGUUGGUGAGGUAAUGGUUCACCAAGGCGACGGCGGGUAGCCGGCCUGAGAGGGUGACCGGCCACACUGGGACUGAGAGACGGCACAGACUCAUUCGGGAGGCAGCAGUGGGGAAUACUGCACAAUGGGAGCACGACUGAUGGAGCGACGCCGCGUGAGGGAUGACGGCCUUCGGGUUGUAAACCGCUUUCCGUAGGGAAGAAGCGACAGUGACGGUACCUGAAGAAGAAGCACCGGCUAACUACGUG